Molecule: long non-coding RNA, 451 nt
Filed under: Homo sapiens (human)
Lineage: Eukaryota; Metazoa; Chordata; Mammalia; Primates; Hominidae
Description: non-protein coding LINC00290:4
Source: RNAcentral
AUCUCAGACAAGCGAAUCCAUCACUGUUACUGUACAGAUAAGAAAUGGAGGCCAAAUAGGAUUAGCAACUUGCUCAGGACUCCACAGAAAGAGCAGCAACUGGAUGGCACAGAAUGAGUUCUGACGUUUACAUCAGAAGAUGGCCCUGAACCGGAGCCAAAGCUGGCCGAGGAGCUGGGGGAGAUUCUGAGACUCACACUUUCAUUUGUGAAGUGAGAUGCUGACUCUAUUGUUGGUUUUGUUUGGGGGUUUGAUGCUGAAAUAAAGCAAUACACACGAGGAAAUUUACUGGCAUUGUAUUAAAAAACAAAGUUAAUGUAUGAUGAUGCCGUAGAGUGAUUCAUGAAUGGCAUUAUGAAUAUUUUAAAAACACAAAAGGAAUUAAAAGAGUAUACUUGGAUGUUAAUGAAAAUAAAAUUUCAUUGAGAACAAGAAUCUUGGUAAACAUCAG